GUGCUCUCUCUGGUAGCAUGUACACUAAUAUCGGAAAAUUUAGAGAAGAUGAGCAUGGCCCCUGCACAAAAUAAAAUCAACAAGGUACUGAAAUUACUAAUUUUC
Bubalus bubalis (water buffalo) is the source of this 105-nucleotide small nuclear RNA. The record is from RefSeq and is a predicted model, not a curated record. Lineage: Eukaryota; Metazoa; Chordata; Mammalia; Artiodactyla; Bovidae.